RNAcentral lists this ribosomal RNA (482 nucleotides) under uncultured bacterium. Its description in RNAcentral is "partial 16S ribosomal RNA". It matches the Rfam family "Bacterial small subunit ribosomal RNA", at positions 30 to 507 of the family's 1533-position model. The record is from RNAcentral.
AUUGAGCGCUGGCGGCAUGCCUUACACAUGCAAGUCGAACGGUAACGGGCCUUCGGGUGCCGACGAGUGGCGAACGGGUGAGUAAUACAUCGGAACGUGCCCGAUCGUGGGGGAUAACGAGGCGAAAGCUUUGCUAAUACCGCAUACGAUCUACGGAUGAAAGCAGGGGACCGCAAGGCCUUGCGCGGACGGAGCGGCCGAUGGCAGAUUAGGUAGUUGGUGGGAUAAAAGCUUACCAAGCCGACGAUCUGUAGCUGGUCUGAGAGGAUGAUCAGCCACACUGGGACUGAGACACGGCCCAGACUCCUACGGGAGGCAGCAGUGGGGAAUUUUGGACAAUGGGCGCAAGCCUGAUCCAGCCAUGCCGCGUGCAGGAUGAAGGCCUUCGGGUUGUAAACUGCUUUUGUACGGAACGAAAAGCCUUCUUUUAAUACAGGAGGGUCAUGACGGUACCGUAAGAAUAAGCACCGGCUAAUUACGUG